UUACGGUCAAAUCACGCUGAAAACACCGGUUCUCGUUCGAUCACCGAAGUUAAGCAUCGUAGAGCCAGGUCAGUACUUAGAUGGGGGACCGCUUGGGAACACCCGGUACUGUAAG
Molecule: non-coding RNA, 115 nt
Organism: Acanthosepion pharaonis
Lineage: Eukaryota; Metazoa; Mollusca; Cephalopoda; Sepiida; Sepiidae
Source: the annotation of a GenBank genome assembly